AACCCAGGGAAACUUGGGCUAAUACCGGAUGUGAGCAUCCUUUUUGGAUGUUUGAAAGGUGGCUUUUAGCUGUCGCUUGAGGAUGAGCCUGCGUCCUAUUAGUUAGUUGGUGAGGUAAUGGCUCCCCAAGGCUAUGAUAGGUAGGCGGCCUUAACGGGUGGUCGCCCACACUGGGAUUGAGAUACGGCCCAGACUCCUACGGGAGGCAGCAGUCGAGAAUAGUCUACAAUGGCCGAAAGGCUGAUAGUGCGACGCCGCGUGAACGAGGAAGCCCUUCGGGGUGUAAAGUUCUUUUAUAUGUGAGCAGUGCCGGUCAUAUUAAUAGUAUGACUGGAGCGAUAUUAGCAUAUGAAUAAGCAACGGCUAACUCCGUGCCAGCAGCCGCGGUAACACGGGGGUUGCGAGCGUUGUCCGGAAUUACUAGGCGUAAAGGGCAGGCAGGCGGACCUGCAAGUUUUCUGUUAAAGACGUCAGCUCAACUGGCGCACGGCAGGAGAUACUGCAGAUCUUGAAUGCGGUUGGGGAAGACAGAAUUCCUGGUGUAGCGGUGGAAUGCGCAGAGAUCAGGAGGAAUACCAAAGGCGAAGGCAGUCUUCCAAGCCGUUAUUGACGCUCAACUGCGAAGGUGUGGGUAUCAAACAGGAUUAGAUACCCUGGUAGUCCACACAGUAAACGAUG
RNAcentral lists this ribosomal RNA (678 nucleotides) under uncultured bacterium. Its description in RNAcentral is "bacterial SSU rRNA". It matches the Rfam family "Bacterial small subunit ribosomal RNA", at positions 145 to 811 of the family's 1533-position model. The record is from RNAcentral.